RNAcentral lists this ribosomal RNA (3089 nucleotides) under Salmonella enterica subsp. enterica serovar Infantis. RNAcentral's name for it is "23S ribosomal RNA". It matches the Rfam family "Bacterial large subunit ribosomal RNA". The record is from RNAcentral. RNAcentral also lists the same sequence under 1 other name. Lineage: Bacteria; Pseudomonadati; Pseudomonadota; Gammaproteobacteria; Enterobacterales; Enterobacteriaceae.
GGUUAAGCGACUAAGCGUACACGGUGGAUGCCCUGGCAGUCAGAGGCGAUGAAGGGCGUGCUAAUCUGCGAUAAGCGCCGGUAAGGUGAUAUGAACCGUUAUAACCGGCGAUACCCGAAUGGGGAAACCCAGUGUGAUUCGUCACACUAUCAUUAACUGAAUCCAUAGGUUAAUGAGGCGAACCGGGGGAACUGAAACAUCUAAGUACCCCGAGGAAAAGAAAUCAACCGAGAUUCCCCCAGUAGCGGCGAGCGAACGGGGAGGAGCCCAGAGCCUGAAUCAGCAUGUGUGUUAGUGGAAGCGUCUGGAAAGGCGCGCGAUACAGGGUGACAGCCCCGUACACAAAAGCGCAUGUGCUGUGAGCUCGAUGAGUAGGGCGGGACACGUGGUAUCCUGUCUGAAUAUGGGGGGACCAUCCUCCAAGGCUAAAUACUCCUGACUGACCGAUAGUGAACCAGUACCGUGAGGGAAAGGCGAAAAGAACCCCGGCGAGGGGAGUGAAAAAGAACCUGAAACCGUGUACGUACAAGCAGUGGGAGCCCCACCACCAAAGCAUUCUCUGGUGUUGAAGGCCCUGCAAAGCAGCAUCGCGGUGGCGGAGCGUCGUUUGCGACGCCCAACACACAAAACAAGCGGUGAGUGCUUUGGGGUGGGGUGACUGCGUACCUUUUGUAUAAUGGGUCAGCGACUUAUAUUCUGUAGCAAGGUUAACCGAAUAGGGGAGCCGGAGGGAAACCGAGUCUUAAUUGGGCGUUAAGUUGCAGGGUAUAGACCCGAAACCCGGUGAUCUAGCCAUGGGCAGGUUGAAGGUUGGGUAACACUAACUGGAGGACCGAACCGACUAAUGUUGAAAAAUUAGCGGAUGACCUGUGGCUGGGGGUGAAAGGCCAAUCAAACCGGGAGAUAGCUGGUUCUCCCCGAAAGCUAUUUAGGUAGCGCCUCGUGAAUUCAUCUCCGGGGGUAGAGCACUGUUUCGGCUAGGGGGCCAUCCCGGCUUACCAACCCGAUGCAAACUGCGAAUACCGGAGAAUGUUAUCACGGGAGACACACGGCGGGUGCUAACGUCCGUCGUGAAGAGGGAAACAACCCAGACCGCCAGCUAAGGUCCCAAAGUCAUGGUUAAGUGGGAAACGAUGUGGGAAGGCCCAGACAGCCAGGAUGUUGGCUUAGAAGCAGCCAUCAUUUAAAGAAAGCGUAAUAGCUCACUGGUCGAGUCGGCCUGCGCGGAAGAUGUAACGGGGCUAAACCAUGCACCGAAGCUGCGGCAGCGAACGUAUCACUUAAAGCGAUUCAGCGGGUUACGAUUGACGGAGCGAAGCGACGUCAAAGCGUAUACAAAGUCGAGUCGGUUUAAGGAUACGUUCGUUGGGUAGGGGAGCGUUCUGUAAGCCUGCGAAGGUGGCCUGUGAGGGUUGCUGGAGGUAUCAGAAGUGCGAAUGCUGACAUAAGUAACGAUAAAGCGGGUGAAAAGCCCGCUCGCCGGAAGACCAAGGGUUCCUGUCCAACGUUAAUCGGGGCAGGGUGAGUCGACCCCUAAGGCGAGGCCGAAAGGCGUAGUCGAUGGGAAACGGGUUAAUAUUCCCGUACUUGGUGUUACUGCGAAGGGGGGACGGAGAAGGCUAUGUUGGCCGGGCGACGGUUGUCCCGGUUUAAGCGUGUAGGUGUGUGUUCCAGGUAAAUCCGGUUCACUUUAACACUGAGGCGUGAUGACGAGGCACUACGGUGCUGAAGCAACAAAUGCCCUGCUUCCAGGAAAAGCCUCUAAGCAUCAGGUAACAUCAAAUCGUACCCCAAACCGACACAGGUGGUCAGGUAGAGAAUACCAAGGCGCUUGAGAGAACUCGGGUGAAGGAACUAGGCAAAAUGGUGCCGUAACUUCGGGAGAAGGCACGCUGACACGUAGGUGAAGUGAUUUACUCACGGAGCUGAAGUCAGUCGAAGAUACCAGCUGGCUGCAACUGUUUAUUAAAAACACAGCACUGUGCAAACACGAAAGUGGACGUAUACGGUGUGACGCCUGCCCGGUGCCGGAAGGUUAAUUGAUGGGGUCAGCGCAAGCGAAGCUCCUGAUCGAAGCCCCGGUAAACGGCGGCCGUAACUAUAACGGUCCUAAGGUAGCGAAAUUCCUUGUCGGGUAAGUUCCGACCUGCACGAAUGGCGUAAUGAUGGCCAGGCUGUCUCCACCCGAGACUCAGUGAAAUUGAACUCGCUGUGAAGAUGCAGUGUACCCGCGGCAAGACGGAAAGACCCCGUGAACCUUUACUAUAGCUUGACACUGAACAUUGAGCCUUGAUGUGUAGGAUAGGUGGGAGGCUUUGAAGUGUGGACGCCAGUCUGCAUGGAGCCGACCUUGAAAUACCACCCUUUAAUGUUUGAUGUUCUAACGUGGACCCGUGAUCCGGGUUGCGGACAGUGUCUGGUGGGUAGUUUGACUGGGGCGGUCUCCUCCUAAAGAGUAACGGAGGAGCACGAAGGUUGGCUAAUCCUGGUCGGACAUCAGGAGGUUAGUGCAAUGGCAUAAGCCAGCUUGACUGCGAGCGUGACGGCGCGAGCAGGUGCGAAAGCAGGUCAUAGUGAUCCGGUGGUUCUGAAUGGAAGGGCCAUCGCUCAACGGAUAAAAGGUACUCCGGGGAUAACAGGCUGAUACCGCCCAAGAGUUCAUAUCGACGGCGGUGUUUGGCACCUCGAUGUCGGCUCAUCACAUCCUGGGGCUGAAGUAGGUCCCAAGGGUAUGGCUGUUCGCCAUUUAAAGUGGUACGCGAGCUGGGUUUAGAACGUCGUGAGACAGUUCGGUCCCUAUCUGCCGUGGGCGCUGGAGAACUGAGGGGGGCUGCUCCUAGUACGAGAGGACCGGAGUGGACGCAUCACUGGUGUUCGGGUUGUCAUGCCAAUGGCACUGCCCGGUAGCUAAAUGCGGAAGAGAUAAGUGCUGAAAGCAUCUAAGCACGAAACUUGCCCCGAGAUGAGUUCUCCCUGAGACUUAGAGUCUCCUGAAGGAACGUUGAAGACGACGACGUUGAUAGGCCGGGUGUGUAAGCGCAGCGAUGCGUUGAGCUAACCGGUACUAAUGAACCGUGAGGCUUAACCUU